Molecule: ribosomal RNA, 254 nt
Filed under: uncultured bacterium
Lineage: Bacteria
Description: partial 16S ribosomal RNA
Rfam family: Bacterial small subunit ribosomal RNA
Source: RNAcentral
CACGUAGGCACCAAGCGUUGUCCGGAUUUAUUGGGCGUAAAGAGCUCGUAGGCGGUUCGGUAAGUCGGAUGUGAAAACUUUGGGCUCAACCCAAAGCGUGCACUCGAUACUGCCAUGACUAGAGUUCGGUAGGGGGGUGGGGAAUUCCUAGUGUAGCGGUGAAAUGCGCAGAUAUUAGGAGGAACACCGGUGGCGAAGGCGGAUCUCUGGGCCUUACCUGACGCUCAGGCGCGAAAGCUAGGGGAGCGAACAGG